This 460-nucleotide ribosomal RNA is filed under the name uncultured bacterium. RNAcentral describes it as "partial 16S ribosomal RNA". It matches the Rfam family "Bacterial small subunit ribosomal RNA", at positions 338 to 795 of the family's 1533-position model. The record is from RNAcentral.
CCUACGGGUGGCAGCAGUGAGGAAUAGUGGUCAAUGGACGAGAGUCUGAACCAGCCAAGUAGCGUGAAGGAUGACUGCCCUAUGGGUUGUAAACUUCUUUUAUAUGGGAAUAAAAUGUUCCACGUGUGGGAUUUUGUAUGUACCAUAUGAAUAAGGAUCGGCUAACUCCGUGCCAGCAGCCGCGGUAAUACGGAGGAUCCGAGCGUUAUCCGGAUUUAUUGGGUUUAAAGGGAGCGUAGGUGGAUUGUUAAGUCAGUUGUGAAAGUUUGCGGCUCAACCGUAAAAUUGCAGUUGAAACUGGCAGUCUUGAGUACAGUAGAGGUGGGCUGCAUUCGUGGUGUAGCGGUGAAAUGCUUAGCUAUCACGCAGAACUCCGAUUGCGAAGGCAGUUCACUGGACUGCAACUGACACUGAGGCUCGAAAGUGUGGGUAUCAAACCGGAUUAGAUACCCUUGUAGUC